RNAcentral lists this ribosomal RNA (448 nucleotides) under Perjiva sp. n. BFS-2018. RNAcentral describes it as "partial 16S large subunit ribosomal RNA". The record is from RNAcentral. Lineage: Eukaryota; Metazoa; Arthropoda; Insecta; Hymenoptera; Ichneumonidae.
UGCUCCMUGAUUAAAUUUAAAUAGCUGCAGAAUAUUAACUGUACAAAGGUAGCAUAAUCAAUAGUUUUUUAAUUGAAAGCUGGAAUGAAUGAUUUAAUAAGGUAAAUAUUGUCUCAAUUUUAAUAAAAUUAGAAUUUUUUUUUUAGUAAAAAUACUAAAUUAAAUUUAAAAGACGAGAAGACCCUAUAGAUUUUUAUAAUUUUAGUUAAUAAAAUUUUAAUUAAAAAAAAAAAUAAAUUUUAAUAAAAAAUUAUUUGGUUGGGGAAAUUAUUAAAUUAAAUUAAUUUUAAUUGUUUUUAAACAAAAAUUAUUGAAUAUUAGAUCUUUAUUAAAAAUUAAAAGAAUAAAAUACCUUAGGGAUAACAGCGUAAUUUUUUUGGAGAGAUCUUAUUGAUAAAAAAGUUUGCGACCUCGAUGUUGAAUUAAGAUAAAAUUUUAAUGAARAAGU